This 488-nucleotide ribosomal RNA is filed under the name uncultured bacterium. RNAcentral describes it as "bacterial SSU rRNA". It matches the Rfam family "Bacterial small subunit ribosomal RNA", at positions 28 to 513 of the family's 1533-position model. The record is from RNAcentral.
GAUGAACGCUAGCGGCAGGCUUAACACAUGCAAGUCGAGGGGUAUAGUUCUUCGGAACUAGAGACCGGCGCACGGGUGCGUAACGCGUAUGCAAUCUACCUUUCACAGAGGGAUAGCCCAGAGAAAUUUGGAUUAAUACCUCAUAGUAUAAUGAGUUGGCAUCAACACAUUAUUAAAGUCACAACGGUGAAAGAUGAGCAUGCGUCCCAUUAGCUAGAUGGUAAGGUAACGGCUUACCAUGGCUACGAUGGGUAGGGGUCCUGAGAGGGAGAUCCCCCACACUGGUACUGAGACACGGACCAGACUCCUACGGGAGGCAGCAGUGAGGAAUAUUGGACAAUGGGCGCAAGCCUGAUCCAGCAAUGCCGCGUGUGUGAAGAAGGCCUGCGGGUUGUAAAGCACUUUUGUCGGGAAGAAAUCAUGUCGGUUAAUACCCGAUGUGGAUGACGGUACCGAAAGAAUAAGCACCGGCUAACUUCGUGCCAGCA